Molecule: ribosomal RNA, 467 nt
Filed under: Bacillus cereus
Lineage: Bacteria; Bacillati; Bacillota; Bacilli; Caryophanales; Bacillaceae
Description: bacterial SSU rRNA
Rfam family: Bacterial small subunit ribosomal RNA
Source: RNAcentral
UUUAUUGGAGAGUUUGAUCCUGGCUCAGGAUGAACGCUGGCGGCGUGCCUAAUACAUGCAAGUCGAGCGAAUGGAUUAAGAGCUUGCUCUUAUGAAGUUAGCGGCGGACGGGUGAGUAACACGUGGGUAACCUGCCCAUAAGACUGGGAUAACUCCGGGAAACCGGGGCUAAUACCGGAUAACAUUUUGAAUCGCAUGGUUCGAAAUUGAAAGGCGGCUUCGGCUGUCACUUAUGGAUGGACCCGCGUCGCAUUAGCUAGUUGGUGAGGUAACGGCUCACCAAGGCAACGAUGCGUAGCCGACCUGAGAGGGUGAUCGGCCACACUGGGACUGAGACACGGCCCAGACUCCUACGGGAGGCAGCAGUAGGGAAUCUUCCGCAAUGGACGAAAGUCUGACGGAGCAACGCCGCGUGAGUGAUGAAGGCUUUCGGGUCGUAAAACUCUGUUGUUAGGGAAGAACAAGUG